RNAcentral lists this ribosomal RNA (297 nucleotides) under uncultured bacterium. Its description in RNAcentral is "partial 16S ribosomal RNA". It matches the Rfam family "Bacterial small subunit ribosomal RNA", at positions 333 to 627 of the family's 1533-position model. The record is from RNAcentral.
UUCGCCCUACGGGACGCAGCAGCGAGGAAUAUUGGUCAAUGGGCGGGAGCCUGAACCAGCCAAGUCGCGUGAGGGAAGACGGUCCUAUGGAUUGUAAACCUCUUUAGGCGGGGAGCAAUGCCGGGCCCGCGUGUCCGGAGGGAGAGUACCCGCAGAAUAAGCAUCGGCUAACUCCGUGCCAGCAGCCGCGGUAAUACGGAGGAUGCGUGCGUUAUCCGGAUUUAUUGGGUUUAAAGGGUGCGUAGGCGGAUUUUUAAGUCAGCGGUAAAAUGUCCGGGCUCAACCCGGGCCGGCCGU